AGCGAACGCUGGCGGCAGGCUUAACACAUGCAAGUCGAACGGGCGUAGCAAUACGUCAGUGGCAGACGGGUGAGUAACGCGUGGGAACGUACCUUUUGGUUCGGAACAACCCAGGGAAACUUGGGCUAAUACCGGAUAAGCCCUUACGGGGAAAGAUUUAUCGCCGAAAGAUCGGCCCGCGUCUGAUUAGCUAGUUGGUGUGGUAACGGCGCACCAAGGCGACGAUCAGUAGCUGGUCUGAGAGGAUGAUCAGCCACAUUGGGACUGAGACACGGCCCAAACUCCUACGGGAGGCAGCAGUGGGGAAUAUUGGACAAUGGGCGCAAGCCUGAUCCAGCCAUGCCGCGUGAGUGAUGAAGGCCCUAGGGUUGUAAAGCUCUUUUGUGCGGGAAGAUAAUGACGGUACCGCAAGAAUAAGCCCCGGCUAACUUCGUGCCAGCCGCCGCCGU
Molecule: ribosomal RNA, 449 nt
Filed under: uncultured bacterium
Lineage: Bacteria
Description: bacterial SSU rRNA
Rfam family: Bacterial small subunit ribosomal RNA
Source: RNAcentral